This 446-nucleotide ribosomal RNA is filed under the name uncultured prokaryote. RNAcentral describes it as "bacterial SSU rRNA". It matches the Rfam family "Bacterial small subunit ribosomal RNA", at positions 355 to 796 of the family's 1533-position model. The record is from RNAcentral.
UCGAGAAUCUUCCGCAAUGGGCGAAAGCCUGACGGAGCGACACCGCGUGCAGGAUGACGGCCUUCGGGUUGUAAACUGCUGUCACGCUAUAGGAAUGGGCUGUCGUUAAUAGCGGCAGUCUUGACCAAAGCGAGAGGAAGCACCGGCUAACUCCGUGCCAGCAGCCGCGGUAAGACGGAGGGUGCAAACGUUGUUCGGAAUCACUGGGCAUAAAGCGCACGUAGGCGGUUCGUCAAGUCAGGUGUGAAAUCCCCCGGCUCAACCGGGGAACUGCAUCUGAUACUGGCGAGCUCGAGGAUGGUAGGGGUGAGCGGAACUCCAGGUGGAGCGGUGAAAUGCGUAGAUAUCUGGAGGAACACCGGUGGCGAAGGCGGCUCACUGGACCAUCUCUGACGCUGAGGUGCGAAAGCCAGGGUAGCAAACGGGAUUAGAUACCCCCGUAGUCC